Long non-coding RNA from Falco peregrinus (peregrine falcon), 1428 nucleotides. RefSeq lists it as uncharacterized. The record is from RefSeq and is a predicted model, not a curated record. The transcript is spliced from 3 exons. NCBI's taxonomy places the organism in Eukaryota, Metazoa, Chordata, Aves, Falconiformes, Falconidae.
ACAAAAGAAGGCCCUUGCAACUUUGAUUCAGAAUCAGGCUGGCUUUGGUCACCAGGUGUGCUCUGGAUGGCUGAGCAGCACACAAAGACAUCUCGUGGUUAAGUGAGCUACUGCAAGUUAAACACUGGUAGGAGAGCUUCCCUGCCCCGGAGUUCUCUGCUCUGUGAUCUGAAAUUCACUGUGUGCAGGUGCAUCAAAGCAUUCUCCAUGUUACAAGAUGGGGAAAGAAUACUUUUACUAAGUAGUCAUUCUGUAACAUUUACACUGAAAGUGUUCUGAUCAAACCUCAAGUUCAAUCUGAGAUCUAAGAAGAGCAAUUAGGUAACAGCAACUCAAAUUCCUGAGGUUUUAAAGAAAUGUUCUGUGCAAAUGGAUGUGUUGGUAUACCUCAUUUUCUUCCCCCCCAAGAAAUUCUGAGAGAGAAAUAAUAAUCUCUGUUCUAUGGCAUGAAAUCAGUAUUUCCUUUGAGAGUUCUGGAAAUUGGAAGCAGUAUUGUGUAGCCAGACAAAAGGCCUAGGAAGAGAAACACAAGUUGCCUGGCCUUCUAGCUAUGUUAUCCAAGAAGGUGAUAAAACAAAAGUGCAGUAAGUGCUUUAAAAAGGUCAUUUUCACACCCCAGCCCCUGCAGAUAGGUAUGUGUACUUAAAUCUCCAAGUUGUUUCCCACCGCUGCCUGGAAGUACUAGCUUUCACCUCGGCUGUGUCUGUGGGAACCCAGCUCACACGUCACCCAGUCUCGUGAGGAUGUGCUAUCAGAUCGAAGAAAGCGUUUCUACAAAAGGUGCAUCUUGCCUCUGUAGGUCCUGACUGUGCCACAGGAUCAAAGGAUGAGCGAGGGAUCUCCGAACAGCUUGUGCUGAGACGGGUCGGGACUUUCCCAGCAAAAUCGAUGUGCGUGCAGCGAGGCUGAACCAUCAUGGAGGUGUCAGCUGAAUGCUGCAGCCUCCCCCCGCCGGCGGGAGACCUCUGAGGCUGGCAGGCAGCUGCUCUCCGAGGUGGUGGUGGACGUUCAGGCAGAUAACUGCUGGUUGGUGUAGACCCGUGGGGGGGCUGCACUGCAGAUGUUCCCAAGAACGGCGUCCGGGAUGUCCUGGCAAAGACCCAGCCUGGGCGUUAUUCCAUUAGUGCCUGUUUUUCCUGGGUGGUCUCUACCUUCCUCUCUCCUGUGGAAGGAAAAAGUUAAGGAAGAGAGGAGCAAGGAAAAGAAUGAAUGGAAAGCAAGUCCCUCUCAGACACUGCUGAGCAGCGCCUGUACCUCCUGCCUCUGACCAGUACGAACAGGCUGUCCUUGUGCCAUCACUGCGCCCCAGCCCACGCCCAUCCUUGCUCCAGGAGGAACUCUUGAGAGGGCUUACUAGCAAAAUCAUAAGGGCUUUAAUCUUCACAUUCCUUGAAAGCUGGAUUUUUGGAAGAAGAGGAAGAAAUUUAA